Tympanuchus pallidicinctus (lesser prairie-chicken) is the source of this 548-nucleotide long non-coding RNA. RefSeq lists it as uncharacterized. NCBI's taxonomy places the organism in Eukaryota, Metazoa, Chordata, Aves, Galliformes, Phasianidae. The record is from RefSeq and is a predicted model, not a curated record. The transcript is spliced from 4 exons.
AUUUCAAUCUCUUGUUUCAUCUAUCCAGAUGCCUUACUGGAAGCAGAGAGUUCAAGACUCCUCUCUUCUUCCUUUCCAGGAUCUGAUAUCUGUCCUGCUGGAUUUCAGAGAGGUGACAGACCUACAAGUAAAGAUGGAGUAGGUCAUCUGAGUACCGUGAUGACGAUACCAAGGUGGGAGCGCAUCUGCCAUUGUCACCCAGAUGGCCAGGCUGCACAGACAGCUACUUCUUUGCCUGGCAGUUACCCCAGAAAACUUCUUGUUGCAAACAUCAUUGAUGCUAACAGCAUGUCCUCUAGAAGUAUCUUUGGUGAAAUGCCCUCUACCAGGCACAAAGCAAGGACUGCUCAGCCAGGACCUUGCCUUCCACUGCACGAAGCAUUUGAGAACCUUAAGAAAAAGAAGAUGAUGGAAAUCGAUUAAUUCUGAAUAUGGCUAACUGGUUGCAAAAGCUUGUUAUGUUCAAAGGCUUGCAAUUGGGCAUUUAUUACUUCCCAGAUUAUCUGCAUUCCUAGGGCACCAAAACCCUUCAAAAACAUGCUUACAGA